GUCCACGCCGUAAACGUUGUGCACUAGGUGUAGGAGGUAUCGACCCCUUCUGUGCCGUAGCUAACGCGUUAAGUGCACCGCCUGGGGAGUACGGUCGCAAGACUGAAACUCAAAGGAAUUGACGGGGGCCCGCACAAGCGGUGGAGCAUGUGGUUUAAUUCGAGGCAACGCGAAGAACCUUACCCAGACUUGACAUCCCGCGACCGCCGUGGAAACACGGCUUCCCCUUCGGGGGCGCGGAGACAGGUGUUGCAUGGCUGUCGU
Molecule: ribosomal RNA, 264 nt
Filed under: uncultured bacterium
Lineage: Bacteria
Description: partial 16S ribosomal RNA
Rfam family: Bacterial small subunit ribosomal RNA
Source: RNAcentral